This 699-nucleotide long non-coding RNA is filed under the name Strigops habroptila (Kakapo). Its description in RNAcentral is "lncRNA (ENSSHBG00005019363.1)". Lineage: Eukaryota; Metazoa; Chordata; Aves; Psittaciformes; Psittacidae. The record is from RNAcentral.
CCGCGGGAAGCGGGAGCAGGCGGGAAGAGCCCUCGGCGGUGGGAGCGGUCUAGAAGGGCCCCUCGGCACACACACAGCUGUGCGGGCGAGUGGCAGGGAUCUUGCGAACGUCGGCUCGGCUCGGCUUCCCUCAGCAGAGGGCUGCGCUCGCAGGUGUGUAGCGCUGCGGUGCUCAGCCCGCUCCUGGUCGAUGCGUGUGGGGUUACUGGUUCGUAGAACUCGUUAAGAACUCGGCAACAAAGUUUAAGUCGACAAGCAGACACAUAAAUGUCAAUAAACUGACCCCAGCGCAUGAAGCCAAGCACAGACCUGGGGUAAAUUCAAAGGACUGGGACUUUAGACCAGGUCAUACUCCAUAAACCUCUCAUCAUUCCUCCUUUCUCUUCUGGACUAUGUCAGGUUUGCCUGUGUCUUUGUUGAACUGCAGAGUCCCAAAAUGAACUCCUCGUCCUGUCCUCCAUCAGUGGCUCUGACUCUGCCAAGUAAAGCAAAAUGAUUGCUUUCCAGGUUUUAUAUGCAAUGCCACGUUCAAUGGCCUGGAAUUAGAUUUACUUACUCUCUGGCAGCAUGUUGCUACUAAUAGACAUUUAGCUUUGAUUCGCUAUCCACAUGUGAUCACUUUCUGAUUAUUUUGGCUAUUUUGAACUCAUAUACUUGAUUUCAAAUUGCAGUAUGUAGUACUUUGUUUGUUAUUAAAGU